CCUACGGGAGGCAGCAGUGGGGAAUAUUGGACAAUGGGCGGAAGCCUGAUCCAGCAACGCCGCGUGAGGGAUGACUGCCUUCGGGUUGUAAACCUCUUUCAGCACAGACGAAGCGAAAGUGACGGUAUGUGCAGAAGAAGCACCGGCCAACUACGUGCCAGCAGCCGCGGUAAUACGUAGGGUGCGAGCGUUGUCCGGAAUUAUUGGGCGUAAAGGGCUCGUAGGCGGUUUGUCGCGUCGGGAGUGAAAACACACAGCUUAACUGUGUGCUUGCUUCCGAUACGGGCAGACUAGAGGUAUGCAGGGGAGAACGGAAUUCCUGGUGUAGCGGUGAAAUGCGCAGAUAUCAGGAGGAACACCGGUGGCGAAGGCGGUUCUCUGGGCAUUACCUGACGCUGAGGAGCGAAAGUGUGGGGAGCGAACAGGAUUAGAUACCCUGGUAGUCCACACCGUAAACGUUGGGCGCUAGGUGUGGGGCCUAUUCCAUGGGUUCCGUGCCGCNGCUACGCAUAAGCGCCCGCCGUCGGGAGGUACGGCCGCGAGGACGUAAACUAACGAAAGGAAAGUUAGACGGCGUGAGACGUGCCGAACGGACGACCGACGAGGGAGGUAGG
RNAcentral lists this ribosomal RNA (614 nucleotides) under uncultured bacterium. RNAcentral's name for it is "bacterial SSU rRNA". The stretch from base 1 to 522 matches the Rfam family "Bacterial small subunit ribosomal RNA", at positions 338 to 873 of the family's 1533-position model. The record is from RNAcentral.